UUUAAAGAUUUCUAUGUUUAUUUUAAAGAGUCUUACCUAUAAAUGCUAUGAAAUUGUAUUGAACUAGAAUAAAUACAUUUUGAGCUUUAUACGAUCGUCCACUACUUCACGUUUAAUAGUAUCAUGGAAAUGUUCAAGACAUCUUUGACAAUUAAAGGUAUUAUUUGACAUAAACCCAUGAAAUGUUCGUUGACAAGCAUCUAAGAGCUGAAUGCGUAGGCAUAGGUAUGUGAAGACUGGAAAACAAGGAAGAUAAAGUGUUGUAGGCGAAUUUCCAUAUUUCAAUAUCAUUUGUUUCUUUAAGA
This is a non-coding RNA of Schizosaccharomyces pombe (fission yeast), 305 nucleotides long. NCBI's taxonomy places the organism in Eukaryota, Fungi, Ascomycota, Schizosaccharomycetes, Schizosaccharomycetales, Schizosaccharomycetaceae. The record is from the annotation of a GenBank genome assembly.